RNAcentral lists this ribosomal RNA (434 nucleotides) under uncultured Microbacterium sp. RNAcentral describes it as "bacterial SSU rRNA". It matches the Rfam family "Bacterial small subunit ribosomal RNA", at positions 958 to 1393 of the family's 1533-position model. The record is from RNAcentral. Lineage: Bacteria; Bacillati; Actinomycetota; Actinomycetes; Micrococcales; Microbacteriaceae.
AACGCGAAGAACCUUACCAAGGCUUGACAUAUACGAGAACGGGCUAGAAAUAGUCAACUCUUUGGACACUCGUAAACAGGUGGUGCAUGGUUGUCGUCAGCUCGUGUCGUGAGAUGUUGGGUUAAGUCCCGCAACGAGCGCAACCCUCGUUCUAUGUUGCCAGCACGUCAUGGUGGGAACUCAUGGAAUACUGCCGGGGUCAACUCGGAGGAAGGUGAGGAUGACAUCAAAUCAUCAUGCCCCUUAUGUCUUGGGCUGCACACGUGCUACAAUGGAUGGUACAACGAGCAGCAAGACCGCGAGGUGGAGCGAAUCCCAAAAAGCCGGUGUCAGUUCGGAUUGCAGGCUGCAACUCGCCUCAUGAAGUCGGAGUCGCUAGUAAUCGCAGAUCAGCAACGCCGCGGUGAAUACGUUCCCGGGUCUUGUACACACGC